This is a long non-coding RNA of Chelonus insularis, 502 nucleotides long. RefSeq lists it as uncharacterized. NCBI's taxonomy places the organism in Eukaryota, Metazoa, Arthropoda, Insecta, Hymenoptera, Braconidae. The record is from RefSeq and is a predicted model, not a curated record. The transcript has 3 exons.
GUGGAAAAAUAAUUCAUUUCAAUGUGAAUGAAUAAUAUUACUAAUUCUAUGAAUCAAAAACUUGAACAUUGAACUCACAUGUGGAUAUUAUUAUCUCUUGGUGUUGAUUAAAAGUAGUUUGGAUUGAGAAAUUCACUCACGUACAUGUUAUUACAUAUAAUAUUAAUGAUAAUAAUAAUAAUAAUGGUUGAAUAGUGAUCUGAAGAGCCCUCCAAGUGGAUUCUUUGUGGUCGUCGAUUGGGGGUUUGAUUCAGAGCCACAACUUGCUACGACACUGUAAUUAUAUCAUUUUGGUGUCACGCGACUUGGAAAGUACACCACAACAUGAAGAGCUAAAGAAUGAUGUCCCACGUGGCUAGUUGAGUGUCCUCAAUGUCACUGGAUCAUGUGAAGAAUUGAAAUGGUCACUCAUAGAAAAAAAAGAUCUAGAAAAGCUGUGAUAGAUAGCAAAGCAUGUAACCACCUUCCGGCGCAAUUUACCUCCCAAGAGACAUUGUUAAAU